This 432-nucleotide ribosomal RNA is filed under the name uncultured bacterium. RNAcentral describes it as "bacterial SSU rRNA". It matches the Rfam family "Bacterial small subunit ribosomal RNA", at positions 29 to 507 of the family's 1533-position model. The record is from RNAcentral.
AACGAACGCUGGCGGCAGGCCUAACACAUGCAAGUCGAGCGCGCCCUUCGGGGUGAGCGGCGGACGGGUGAGUAACGCGUGGGAACGUGCCCUUUGCUACGGAAUAGUCUCGGGAAACUGGGGGUAAUACCGUAUGAGCCCUUCGGGGAAAGGAUUUAUCGGCAAAGGAUCGGCCGCGUUGGAUUAGGUAGUUGGUGGGGUAAUGGCUCACCAAGCCGACGAUCCAUAGCUGGUUUGAGAGGAUGAUCAGCCACACUGGGACUGAGACACGGCCCAGACUCCUACGGGAGGCAGCAGUGGGGAAUCUUAGACAAUGGGCGCAAGCCUGAUCUAGCCAUGCCGCGUGAGCGAUGAAGGCCUUAGGGUUGUAAAGCUCUUUCGUGGGGGAAGAUAAUGACUGUACCCCAAGAAGAAGCCCCGGCUAACUCCGUG